Armigeres subalbatus is the source of this 1533-nucleotide RNA transcript. It is a transcript of the gene named receptor expression-enhancing protein 5, with no coding region annotated. The record is from RefSeq and is a predicted model, not a curated record. Lineage: Eukaryota; Metazoa; Arthropoda; Insecta; Diptera; Culicidae. The transcript has 5 exons.
AAAACAUUUUGGACAGCUGGCGGCACCGCGGUUGCAAAAAAAAAUCUGAAAACGCGUCUACUUCUUUCUUGUUCCUGGCAAUACAUCUGCUUCUGUUAGCGUCUAGAUUCUCUGUCGAGUGCUCCGCCGUAGUUAUCAAAUAUUAUCGUAAAAUCGCGCAGCGCAAGCAUUUUGUGACUCACAUCAGUGUUAAUUUAGCGGUGUCACGUUCGUAAGUGUGAUAAGUGCUUGUGAGUGUUACCAGCCGGAUCUACCUAUAUCAGAAAGAUGGCCAACAAAAUCGAGGAGGUGCGAACAUCCAUCGAAUCAUCCUUGAAGGAUGACACCAAGCCAUGGACACAGGCUUUUAAGCUGGCCGAAGAGAAGACCGGUGUUCCGAGGCUAUACAUUUUCCUGGGUGGUGUUGCCAUUGUGGUUCUCUAUCUGGCCUUCGGCUAUGCCGCACAGAUCCUGUGCAACGCUAUCGGCGUAGCUUAUCCGGCGUACAUUUCCAUGAAAGCAAUCGAAACCCGCACAAAGGAAGACGACACCAGAUGGCUCACCUACUGGGUAAUCUACGGCGUUCUGUCCGUGUUUGAGCAUUUCUCCUUUUUCCUGGUGCAAAUCAUCCCAUUCUACUGGCUGCUGAAGUGCGUCUUCUUCGUCUGGUGCAUGGUACCAAUUGAUAACAAUGGAUCGACCGUAAUGUACCACAAGGUCAUCCUGCCAUAUUUCAAGAAAUACGAAAAAAGUAAGUAAUGCGAGCAUGAGAAGCAUCCAAGUACAAAAAGCAAGUAUUCACAAAUUUGAAGUCGUGGUGCGGACAAUCUGAUCGGACAAGCCACUGAUAAGAUCAAACAGGUGGCCGGUGAUGUGAUCUCCAAGAAGCUGUCUUAAAACAACACCCCACGAUUAGGUCUCAUUAGAAUGUUUGUAGCAUGUUUAUUAUAAAUUUAAAACAUUUUUCUUGUACGCAAUUUGAAGACAAGUUUCAUCAUUUUCACUCAAUUCUUCUGUCAACUGGCUGCUAGCGCAGAAACAUCAAAAUGCAAAGAAAAACGAAAUUUAAGCUUUUCGUUAUGAUUUAAAUUUCAACGCGGUAUUCGGCUUAAUGCUUUGAUUGUAUCAUAUGUAUCUAUUUGGAUUCUGCUAGAUCUAAAUGUAACAACGUGACUCUGACGAUUCUUAGGGUAGACGUGGAUAGAUUAGUUAAGUAGUCAGCAGUACACACUUGCCUUAGUCCAACUUCUGCAACAAAAGUUACAAAUCACUAUUGCUGAUUUAUUUAUUGAAAUGGAAAUAAGACGCCAUUAUUUUUGUUGAUAGUACAACAGCACACAUAAAACAACCAAACAAUCGCCAAGUCAUGCAAAAUGUGAAUCUGAGGAAAGGUAACGCAAGAAAACUGCAUCAUUACGGAUUAAAAUGCUUUAUUUUUUCAAGGGAUAAGUAGUGGUUUGUGGAAAAGACACGUAUGUUUAAAUAUUUUAACGAAAAAAAAUCGCAUUGAGUUAUAGAAAACAUGAAAGACACAGAUGACAUCACAAAAUCAAA